AUUGAACGCUGGCGGCAUGCCUUACACAUGCAAGUCGAACGGCAGCACGGGUGCUUGCACCUGGUGGCGAGUGGCGAACGGGUGAGUAAUACAUCGGAACAUGUCCUGUAGUGGGGGAUAGCCCGGCGAAAGCCGGAUUAAUACCGCAUACGAUCUACGGAUGAAAGCGGGGGACCUUCGGGCCUCGCGCUAUAGGGUUGGCCGAUGGCUGAUUAGCUAGUUGGUGGGGUAAAGGCCUACCAAGGCGACGAUCAGUAGCUGGUCUGAGAGGACGACCAGCCACACUGGGACUGAGAAACGGCCCAGACUCCUACGGGAGGCAGCAGUGGGGAAUUUUGGACAAUGGGCGAAAGCCUGAUCCAGCAAUGCCGCGUGUGUGAAGAAGGACUUAGGGUUGUAAAGCACUUUUGUCCGGAAAGAAAUCCUUGGCCCUAAUACGGUCGGGGGAUGACGGUACCGGAAGAAUAAGCACCGGCUAACUACGUG
RNAcentral lists this ribosomal RNA (486 nucleotides) under uncultured bacterium. RNAcentral describes it as "partial 16S ribosomal RNA". It matches the Rfam family "Bacterial small subunit ribosomal RNA", at positions 30 to 507 of the family's 1533-position model. The record is from RNAcentral.